AUAAAAUUUAAUUUAAAUUUAAAUAAUUUAGUUAUAAUUUAUUUUAUAUAUAAAUUUUUGUUUGUAUUUUAUUAAAAUUUAAAAUUUUAAUUUAUAUAUUUUAUUUUUAGUAAUUUAUUUUAAUUGAUUUUAAGGAAAUUUUUGUUAGUAAAUUAAUUUAAUAUUAGUAAAAAUUGUGCCAGCAACUGCGGUUAUACAAUUAAUAUAAUUAAAUUUUAUUAUUAAGAGUUAUAAAUUUUAUAUUAAUAUAUUUUAAAAUAUAAUUAAUUUUAUUAGGUUAAAUUUUUAAAAUUAUAGUUUUUUAUUUUUAUUUAAUAUUAUUAAAAGCUUGGAAAAUUUAAUUAAAAACUAGGAUUAGAUACCCUAUUAUUUAAAAUGUAAAAAAAAAAUGAUUUAAUAGAUUAAUAAAAGUUAUAUGCUUAAAAUUCAAAAAAUUUGGCGGUGUUUUAAUCUUAUUAGAGGAAUUUGUUUAGUAAUUGAUAAUCCUCAUUAAAUCUUACUUAAAUUUUUAAUUUAUAUAUCGUCGUCAUAAGAAUUUCUAAAAAAAGUAAUAAUUUUCUAAAAUUUAAUAAUGAAUUUAUGUCAGAUCAAGGUGUAGUUUAUGUUUAAGUUAAAAAUGAAUUACAAUAAAGUUAUUUAAAUGGAUAUAAAAUUGAAAUAUUUUAUUUGAAAGUGGAUUUAUUAGUAAAUUUAUUAUAUAAAGUUAGGUUGAAAAUAGUUCUAAAAUAUGUACAUAUUGCCCGUCGCUCUCAUUUUAAGAUGAGAUAAGUCGUAACAUAGUAGAAGUACUGGAAAGUGUUUCUAGAAUGAA
This 811-nucleotide non-coding RNA is filed under the name Azana sp. WQY005. Lineage: Eukaryota; Metazoa; Arthropoda; Insecta; Diptera; Mycetophilidae. The record is from RNAcentral.